CUCCAAAAAUUCGAAUAUGCU
Molecule: non-coding RNA, 21 nt
Filed under: Caenorhabditis elegans
Lineage: Eukaryota; Metazoa; Nematoda; Chromadorea; Rhabditida; Rhabditidae
Source: RNAcentral